UGAGUAAUGCGUAGGAAUCUACCUUUUAGAGGGGGAUAACCCGAGGAAACUCGGGCUAAUACCGCGUAGUAUCUCUUUUCAUAGAAAAGUUGAAGAAAGCGGGGGAUCCUUGAGUUUUUUUAAGGACCUCGCGCUAAGAGAUGAGCCUGCGUCGGAUUAGUUAGUUGGUGGGGUAAUAGCCCACCAAGACGAUGAUCCGUAGCUGGUCUGAGAGGAUGAUCAGCCACACUGGGACUGAGACACGGCCCAGACUCCUAUGGGAGGCAGCAGUGGGGAAUAUUGGACAAUGGGGGAAACCCUGAUCCAGCAAUGCCGCGUGUGUGAAGAAGGCCUUCGGGUUGUAAAGCACUUUCAGCAGGAAAGAAAGUCUUAAAGUUAAUACCUUUAAUGAGUUGACGUUACCUGCAGAAGAAGCACUGGCUAACUCUGUGCCAGCAGCCGCGGUAAUACAGAGAGUGCAAGCGUUAAUCGGAAUUACUGGGCGUAAAGCGCGCGUAGGUGGAUAUUAAAGUCGGGUGUGAAAGCCCCGAGCUUAACUCGGGAAUUGCGUUCGAUACUGAGUAUCUAGAGUAUAGUAGAGGGAAGUGGAAUUUCCGGUGUAGCGGUGAACAUGCGGAGAUAUCGGAAGGCACACCAGUGGCGAAGGCGGCUUUCCUGGACGACAGACUGACAUUGAGGUGCGAAAGCGAAGGGAGCACACUAGGAUGAGGCACCCUGG
RNAcentral lists this ribosomal RNA (718 nucleotides) under uncultured bacterium. Its description in RNAcentral is "bacterial SSU rRNA". It matches the Rfam family "Bacterial small subunit ribosomal RNA", at positions 107 to 790 of the family's 1533-position model. The record is from RNAcentral.